GCCAGGGUAGUUCAGUGGUAGAACGUUCCCUUGGUAAGGGAAAGGUCGUGGGUUCGAUUCCCACCCUUGGCUCAA
RNAcentral lists this transfer RNA (75 nucleotides) under Candidatus Parcubacteria bacterium. RNAcentral describes it as "tRNA-Thr". It matches the Rfam family "tRNA". From Rfam's summary of the family: Transfer RNA (tRNA) molecules are approximately 80 nucleotides in length. The record is from RNAcentral. Lineage: Bacteria; Candidatus Parcubacteria.